CCCAUGAUACUGGGUGUGAGCUGAUGGACUCCUCCCUGUUCUGCCUUUCCACUUAAAUAUUCCCCAGGCACAGGGAACAAAGCAGAGUGUUUUAACAUCGAGGAUCAUACUUUGUAAGGUCGUUUUUGUAACCAGGAUCCGAGACUCAGCACAAACGGAAAAGGUGACCUCGCAGGAAAACCGUGUGGAGAAUUCAAGCAGUGAGGACCUCCUGAGCCAGAGGUACAGACACUACCAGUUACAGAGUCACCAUGUCUCUGGCUGUUACUGGGUGUUAAUGGG
Chiloscyllium plagiosum (whitespotted bambooshark) is the source of this 282-nucleotide non-coding RNA. The record is from RefSeq and is a predicted model, not a curated record. Lineage: Eukaryota; Metazoa; Chordata; Chondrichthyes; Orectolobiformes; Hemiscylliidae.